CAAUAGCGUAUAUUUAGGUUGUUGCAGUUAAAAAGCUCGUAGUUGGAUUUCGGAUGGGCUUGACCGGUCCGCCGUUUGGUGUGCACUGGUCGUGCCUAUCUUGCUGCCGGGGACGCGCUCCUGGCCUUAAUUGGCUGGGACGCGGAGUCGGCGAUGUUACUUUGAAAAAAUUAGAGUGUUCAAAGCAGGCCUAAGCUCUGAAUACAUUAGCAUGGAAUAACGCUAUAGGACUCUGGUCUUAUUGCGUUGGUCUUCGAGACCGGAGUAAUGAUUAAGAGGGACAGUUGGGGGCAUUCGUAUUUCAUUGUCAGAGGUGAAAUUCUUGGAUUUAUGAAAGACGAACUUCUGCGAAAGCAUUUGCCAAGGAUGUUUUCAUUAA
This 379-nucleotide ribosomal RNA is filed under the name uncultured eukaryote. Its description in RNAcentral is "partial 18S ribosomal RNA". It matches the Rfam family "Eukaryotic small subunit ribosomal RNA", at positions 592 to 976 of the family's 1831-position model. The record is from RNAcentral.